GUAGGUGGCAAGCGUUGUCCGGAAUUAUUGGGCGUAAAACGCGCGCAGGCGGUUCUUUAAGUCUGAUGUGAAAGCCCACGGGCUCAACCGUGGAGGGUCAUUGGAAACUGGAGAACUUGAGUACAGAAGAGGAAAGCGGAAUUCCACGUGUAGCGGUGAAAUGCGUAGAGAUGUGGAGGAACACCAGUGGCGAAGGCGGCUUUCUGGUCUGUAACUGACGCUGAGGCGCGAAAGCGUGGGGAGCAAACAGGAUUAGAUACCCUGGUAGUCCACGCCGUAAACGAUGAGUGCUAAGUGUUAGGGGGUUUCCGCCCCUUAGUGCUGCAGCUAACGCAUUAAGCACUCCGCCUGGGGAGUACGGCCGCAAAGGCUGA
Molecule: ribosomal RNA, 374 nt
Filed under: uncultured organism
Description: partial 16S ribosomal RNA
Rfam family: Bacterial small subunit ribosomal RNA
Source: RNAcentral